RNAcentral lists this ribosomal RNA (505 nucleotides) under uncultured bacterium. Its description in RNAcentral is "partial 16S ribosomal RNA". It matches the Rfam family "Bacterial small subunit ribosomal RNA", at positions 28 to 523 of the family's 1533-position model. The record is from RNAcentral.
GGUGAACGCUGGCGGUAGGCCUAACACAUGCAAGUCGAACGGCAGCACAGGAGAGCUUGCUCUCUGGGUGGCGAGUGGCGGACGGGUGAGGAAUACAUCGGAAUCUACUCUGUCGUGGGGGAUAACGUAGGGAAACUUACGCUAAUACCGCAUACGACCUACGGGUGAAAGCAGGGGACCUUCGGGCCUUGCGCGAUUGAAUGAGCCGAUGUCGGAUUAGCUAGUUGGCGGGGUAAAGGCCCACCAAGGCGACGAUCCGUAGCUGGUCUGAGGGGAUGAUCAGACACACUGGAGAUGAGACACGGUCCAGACUCCUACGGUAGGCAGCAGUGGUGAAUAUUGGACAAUGGGCGCAAGCCUGAUCCAGCCAUACCGCGUGGGUGAAGAAGGCCUUCGGGUUGUAGAGCCCUUUUGUUGGAAAGAAAUCCGGCUGGCUAAUACCCGGUUGGGAUGACGGUACCCAAAGAAUAAGCACCGGCUAACUUCGUGCCAGCCGCCGCGGUAA